This 429-nucleotide ribosomal RNA is filed under the name Chloroflexota bacterium. RNAcentral's name for it is "Chloroflexi bacterium partial 16S ribosomal RNA". It matches the Rfam family "Bacterial small subunit ribosomal RNA", at positions 355 to 776 of the family's 1533-position model. Lineage: Bacteria; Bacillati; Chloroflexota. The record is from RNAcentral.
UGGGGAAUAUUGCACAAUGGGUGCAAGCCUGAUGCAGCCAUGCCGCGUGUAUGAAGAAGGCCUUCGGGUUGUAAAGUACUUUCAGUCGGGAGGAAGGUGGUAAGGUUAAUAACCUUAUCAAUUGACGUUACCGACAGAAGAAGCACCGGCUAACUCCGUGCCAGCAGCCGCGGUAAUACGGAGGGUGCAAGCGUUAAUCGGAAUUACUGGGCGUAAAGCGCACGCAGGCGGUUGAUUGAGUCAGAUGUGAAAUCCCCGGGCUUAACCCGGGAAUUGCAUCUGAUACUGGUCAGCUAGAGUCUUGUAGAGGGGGGUAGAAUUCCAUGUGUAGCGGUGAAAUGCGUAGAGAUGUGGAGGAAUACCGGUGGCGAAGGCGGCCCCCUGGACAAAGACUGACGCUCAGGUGCGAAAGCGUGGGGAGCAAACAGG